This 253-nucleotide ribosomal RNA is filed under the name uncultured bacterium. RNAcentral describes it as "partial 16S ribosomal RNA". It matches the Rfam family "Bacterial small subunit ribosomal RNA", at positions 524 to 776 of the family's 1533-position model. The record is from RNAcentral.
UACGAAGGGUGCAAACGUUGCUCGGAAUUAUUGGGCGUAAAGCGCACGUAGGCGGCAUCGCAAGUCGGAUGUGAAAUCCCUCGGCUUAACCAAGGAAGUGCAUCCGAAACUGCAGUGCUUGAGUACUUAAGAGGAUCGCGGAAUUCCCGGUGUAGAGGUGAAAUUCGUAGAUAUUGGGAAGAACACCGAUGGCGAAGGCAGCCAUCUGGACCGACACUGACGCUGAGGCGCGAAAGCGUGGGGAGCAAACAGG